Oreochromis aureus is the source of this 917-nucleotide long non-coding RNA. RefSeq lists it as uncharacterized. The record is from RefSeq and is a predicted model, not a curated record. The transcript has 7 exons. Lineage: Eukaryota; Metazoa; Chordata; Actinopteri; Cichliformes; Cichlidae.
GUGGGCGUUAAGGCAUCUUGGGAAGCUCUAAGGAGUUUGCCAAGCUUCUUAGACUACGAUGACCUGGAUGACUUCACAGACAUCCCAGAGAAGAAAUGUUCAUACAUGUUUGCUGCUAAAGCUUUGAUGACUAAUUAUUAACUGGUUCAGAAGAACAAGGUUCUACUCGCGGUGUGAUGCUCCCAGACUGGUUCAUGGUUAUUUUCUCCCCAAACAAGAGAUUUACUUUGACAGAACCACGAUCACUUAUUCCUGUGAUAACGGAUAUAAACCAGUAGUGGAGGGUUGGUGGGCAACCAGUACCUGUGAACGUGGGAAAUGUUCGCAGGUACUUGAAGAUGUCGCAUGAACCACAAUGCAUAGAUGAAAGCAGCUGCCUUCCACCAACUAUUCCCAAUGGAAAGUACCAGGAAAACUCAAACAGCUGCAUCUUCUAGCACCUCUGACUCAAAUAAUAACAGAGACAACAGUCCUAUACUGAUAAACAUUCAGUCGUGUGGAGCCCGCCCAUCCAUCAAAAAUGCUAUAAUUGUGGAAUAAGGUCCAAUGUAUUUGAAAUACCAGUGUAAAAGUUAUUACAGACUAGUUGGUCCAGACACUGUGAAUUGUUAUGGUGAUGGUAGCUGGUCCAAACUACCCACCUGUGAAGAAGCGUUCUGUGUGGUGGAUCCUGCUAGAUAUGCUCGUCAUGGUCUUGCAGUAACUCAAUCUGAAUACAUGCGGGAAGGAGAAAAAAGAUAUUUUCCUUGUACUGCAAGACAUAAAUAUACCUAUGUUCAGUGUACUAACAGAAGAAUAUCUUUGACCAGUGUUACGAAAUCAGUUUUACCCCGGUUCUUUUUUUCGUCAAGGGAUCCAGAGAUGACACUGGAACUCAGAAGUUAUUUUCACAAAAUCUUUAUUCAUCUUCAUUUAAG